Long non-coding RNA from Rosa rugosa (rugosa rose), 2647 nucleotides. RefSeq lists it as uncharacterized. The transcript has 3 exons. Lineage: Eukaryota; Viridiplantae; Streptophyta; Magnoliopsida; Rosales; Rosaceae. The record is from RefSeq and is a predicted model, not a curated record.
UUUUUUUUUGUGCGAUUCGUUGCAUUCUAGUAGCUCUCUUUCAUGUUCAUCCUUAUUUGUGCUUCAUUAUUUUUCUAUCUUGAGCUGGGUUUUGUGUUUGUGCCUGAUGGGUUCUAUAAUGCAGCACCAUAAUUUAAAGCUUCCUUUCUUAUUUUGGUUUGGGUUUCGUUGGAAUUUUGAGCCUUUGUGCACCCUCUACUCCUGGCCUUCUGUUUUUCAGCCUUUCUAGUAGUUCUCUUUUCACUUACACUUGCUGACCUUCUGUAUUCAGUUAUUGAUUUCACCUGUAUUUCAAUUUUGGUUUGCAGCUCACCAUGAGCUAUUCAAACCUCCGGGAUAUAUGUAGUGAUGAUGAAACUGGUGAGCCAAACUCAGUGUCCCCAGCGCUAACUUCUCCCAGAAAUUUCGAAAAGCUAUCUGGAAACUACAAAUGGCACAGGAAGAGGGGUCCAGAAAUGAGGCGUGUGAAAUGGGGGCCAAGAGGAUGGUGGGAUUGUUUGGGGGAUUUAUGUCAGGGACAGUGCUGUUGGGGAGAAGCUGAGCAAGAGGCCUCGAGUUAUGAUCAAUUGACAGAAGCCUUUGCGGAGAUGAGCGACUACUCAAGUGCUCCUAGCGCACCUCAGAGGCUCAGAUACCAAUUGUAAUAUGAUUGAGUUUGAGUCAAGAGUGUUAUAUGGGGGAGUUUGAUAUUGAUCAGAACCCGCCUAUUCCUCUGCGGGAUGUGCUUGGGAAGGUGAAGCCUUUCUUGAUGGCAUAUGAGGGUAUUCAAAUUCAAGACGAGUGGGGAGGUAUAGUUUUCCUUGCUCUUGCAUUAUAUUUGUCAUCUGAUUUGGCUAAUGUGUGACGUAAUUCUCUGUCUCCAUCUUUAUGUCACACUAAUGUUACCAUAGGAGUUUCCUAGUAGUUGAUUUUGUAAAGCCAUAGGAGUUUGUAGUAGUUAAUCAUUACAUGAGGAAUUUAGAUGUUUCGGAGCUGAUCAAAAAGCUGUAUUGUGAUUUUCUAAUACAUUUUUUUCUAUGACACUUACUUCCUCUUUGUUGAUAUAACCAUAUGCCAUAUAUAGUUUAUUUAGUCUCAAAAUUUAAUGAAGAGCUACUUAGAAUGGAAACAUACAGAUGUUUAUGUAUGUAUGUUUGUAUAGGAGCUCUUAGAAUAUGUAUAUGUAUAUGUUUGCUGCGGUCAGCAUCUGUCUGUAACUAUGAUCUCUCAUCUGUAUAAUGCAAUGCUGAGUAUUCUGGAAUACUGAGAUUGAGUAUAGUGAGGAACUAGGCCAGAUACCAUGUUCUUUUUGAAUGGAGGAUUUCUGUCUCUCCUUUAGUUUUAGUGUUCGUGUUUUUUAAGCCCUUUGGUUGUAGUUUGACCGCUUUGGCCGGUGGUUCUCGGCUCAUCCGCUCUGGCUGACGGCUGAAUCCAUCAAUCAGGUUUUGCUUCUUUUUUGAAUCAAUUGUUUGUUGAUCCACUCGUCUCGUUAGAUUGAUUGUUGAAAAAACUAUUGGAGUUUGUUUGAUUUUUUAUUUCUAGUUUUUGAAUCCAGAUCCACUUCCUCUGUCUGGUAUUUUGCUGCUCUUAAUUUCAUUCGGAUGCCCUUGUAACCGAUUUUAUGUUGGAAUUAAAAAAAAAAAAUUCCCCUUGUAGAAUAGUGUGGCUAUCUAGUUAUAUUCUAUGUUUAAUAAUAAUAAUUAAAAAAAAAAACUCGAUUUAGGAAUUCUGGUAGAAAGAGAGGCUUUCCUUUUCCUCGUUGAGCUAGGGCUAUAGCUAGCAUAUAUACAUCGCUACUUUAGUGAUCAUCCGUAGGAAUUCUCCUUCAACCAUGCCGGCAACGCCCGAGAAGAACCUUUUUUUUAGCAGGGUUUUGCAAAGAGAAACAGUUGAACCUGCACCACCUGGUCAGGAAGACUGGCUGGCUUCCGUUCAAGUUUUAUUUCCUUGAACAUACCCGCUGCUGGUAUGAUCAUCCAAUGGACUAUACUUGUGUAGCCGCCACAUCGGAUACUACAUUUGGUUCAAUCCUUCACUCUGGUAGAAACAACAGAUGGGGGAACACACCAGCUAUGAUUCGCCACCUUUCGAGGAUUGGUAUUCCACAAGAGGAGCAACCAUCUAUCCUCGACAAACUAUUUGGAGUGCUUUGAACGGCCUUCCCUGAGGGCCGCAUUCUUGUCUUGAUAGCUCAAGUGACUGUGUAUUUGUUGGGUAGUUUUGAUGAUCUUGAUACCAUUUCUGCACUUACUUGUUAUUCUCCCAAUUUUAGCUUUGGCUUAAAAUAUUAGGUUCCUGAUGAAGUGCGCUGUGAAACACAUACAAUAAGUGGUGUUGACUAUCUUAUGGAACAGCUACCCCCAUUGAUAGGCUUUUAUUGGAAUCCUUUGAAGCUCUUCCUAGGAUCGUCAGGUUUAUCCCUGCAACUAGAUCAUCAAUUAAGAGUUUGCAGAAAGUGAGACUUGAUAGUUUAGAAGUAGCUACUAUCAAACAGAAUCCGUCAUGUAAUAUAUGUAGGGAUGACUUUGCAGAAGGCAGUGCUGAACUGGUUAUUCCUUUGCCUUGCGCUCAGUGUUAUCACACAGAUUGCAUCAUCUCGUGGCUGGAGGUGAAUCAUUUGUGCCUGUUGUGUCGAUAUGCAAUGCCAAAUGUGGAAGAGGGCCAGCCU